CCUACGGGAGGCAGCAGUGGGGAAUAUUGCACAAUGGGCGGAAGCCUGAUGCAGCAACGCCGCGUGAGGGAUGACGGCCUUCGGGUUGUAAACCUCUUUUAGCAGGGAAGAAGCGAAAGUGACGGUACCUGCAGAAAAAGCGCCGGCUAACUACGUGCCAGCAGCCGCGGUAAU
RNAcentral lists this ribosomal RNA (174 nucleotides) under uncultured bacterium. RNAcentral's name for it is "partial 16S ribosomal RNA". It matches the Rfam family "Bacterial small subunit ribosomal RNA", at positions 338 to 524 of the family's 1533-position model. The record is from RNAcentral. RNAcentral also lists the same sequence under 1 other name.